GUGCCAGCAGCCGCGGUAAUACGUAGGUGGCGAGCGUUGUUCGGAAUUACUGGGCAUAAAGGGCGCGUAGGCGGUGAUUUAAGUCGGUUGUGAAAGGCCUCGGCUCAACCGGGGAAACGCAACCGAAACUGGAUCGCUCGAGCACGGAAGGGGAAGGUGGAAUUCCAGGUGGAGCGGUGAAAUGCGUAGAUAUCUGGAGGAACACCCGUGGCGAAAGCGGCCUUCUGGUCCGUUGCUGACGCUGAGGCGCGAAAGCUAGGGGAGCAAACAGGAUUAGAUACCCUUGUAGUCC
Molecule: ribosomal RNA, 292 nt
Filed under: uncultured bacterium
Lineage: Bacteria
Description: partial 16S ribosomal RNA
Rfam family: Bacterial small subunit ribosomal RNA
Source: RNAcentral